CCUGCCUGUUCAGACUGUGUCUGUCGGAAUGAACACAUUCAGAAUCUGGAUCUCCGCUGACAAGGUCCUGGGGGGAUAAUCACAACGCCUGACGGAGUUGCCAGGACUCACUGAAUUAAUCCGAGCAGGGCACUUAGAACGGCAUGGAUGUGCAGCACGUGCUCGGACACAUCGGCUGUGAAGAGAAGGCAUCCUAACCAGGAGCUCAUCUUGAAAACAGCUGGAAAACUCUCCAUCUCUGAUCAUUCGCACUGGAUAGCAACUCUACCAUGAACCUCAGAACUGGGGAAAGACUUAGCCCCACGGCAGCGUUACGGAUAAAGCCAGUUUAAGAACAAAUACACCUAGUUUGACCCAAUAGGUGUGGAUCGACUGGAAAGUACACUUUUGCACAAUGAUGCAUGAAAUAUUCAUCAAGGAAAUUUGGUUUUGAAAAGAAAUCUCAGCUGAACCUUUAUCAGGCAGGAGAACAACAGAAAGAAAAAGCAGGGGAGAAGACAAUAGAAAGCCAUCCUUAAUGUCAUGUUGCCAUGUUGUACUUUAUGGGUUCAUUUUAGAGAAAAAUAUACAUUCACUGUAAAAAAAAUUUGAGUAAAUAUAUAAAUAAGAGCUGGCACA
This is a long non-coding RNA of Manis javanica (Malayan pangolin), 618 nucleotides long. RefSeq lists it as uncharacterized. The record is from RefSeq and is a predicted model, not a curated record. Lineage: Eukaryota; Metazoa; Chordata; Mammalia; Pholidota; Manidae.